RNAcentral lists this ribosomal RNA (1437 nucleotides) under Enterococcus hirae. RNAcentral's name for it is "bacterial SSU rRNA". It matches the Rfam family "Bacterial small subunit ribosomal RNA". The record is from RNAcentral. Lineage: Bacteria; Bacillati; Bacillota; Bacilli; Lactobacillales; Enterococcaceae.
UAUACUGCAAGUCGAACGCUUCUUUUACACCGGAGCUUGCUCCACCGGAAAAAGAGGAGUGGCGAACGGGUGAGUAACACGUGGGUAACCUGCCCAUCAGAAGGGGAUAACACUUGGAAACAGGUGCUAAUACCGUAUAACAAUCGAAACCGCAUGGUUUUGAUUUGAAAGGCGCUUUCGGGUGUCGCUGAUGGAUGGACCCGCGGUGCAUUAGCUAGUUGGUGAGGUAACGGCUCACCAAGGCGACGAUGCAUAGCCGACCUGAGAGGGUGAUCGGCCACAUUGGGACUGAGACACGGCCCAAACUCCUACGGGAGGCAGCAGUAGGGAAUCUUCGGCAAUGGACGAAAGUCUGACCGAGCAACGCCGCGUGAGUGAAGAAGGUUUUCGGAUCGUAAAACUCUGUUGUUAGAGAAGAACAAGGAUGAGAGUAACUGUUCAUCCCUUGACGGUAUCUAACCAGAAAGCCACGGCUAACUACGUGCCAGCAGCCGCGGUAAUACGUAGGUGGCAAGCGUUGUCCGGAUUUAUUGGGCGUAAAGCGAGCGCAGGCGGUUUCUUAAGUCUGAUGUGAAAGCCCCCGGCUCAACCGGGGAGGGUCAUUGGAAACUGGGAGACUUGAGUGCAGAAGAGGAGAGUGGAAUUCCAUGUGUAGCGGUGAAAUGCGUAGAUAUAUGGAGGAACACCAGUGGCGAAGGCGGCUCUCUGGUCUGUAACUGACGCUGAGGCUCGAAAGCGUGGGGAGCAAACAGGAUUAGAUACCCUGGUAGUCCACGCCGUAAACGAUGAGUGCUAAGUGUUGGAGGGUUUCCGCCCUUCAGUGCUGCAGCUAACGCAUUAAGCACUCCGCCUGGGGAGUACGACCGCAAGGUUGAAACUCACAGGAAUUGACGGUGGCCCGCACAAGCGGUGGAGCAUGUGGUUUAAUUCGAAGCAACGCGAAGAACCUUACCAGGUCUUGACAUCCUUUGACCACUCUAGAGAUAGAGCUUCCCCUUCGGGGGCAAAGUGACAGGUGGUGCAUGGUUGUCGUCAGCUCGUGUCGUGAGAUGUUGGGUUAGUCCCGCACGAGCGCACCCUUAUUGUUACUUGCCAUCAUUUAGUUGGGCACUCUAGCAAGACUGCCGGUGACAAACCGGAGGAAGGUGGGGAUGACGUCAAAUCAUCAUGCCCCUUAUGACCUGGGCUACACACGUGCUACAAUGGGAAGUACAACGAGUCGCAAAGUCGCGAGGCUAAGCUAAUCUCUUAAAGCUUCUCUCAGUUCGGAUUGUAGGCUGCAACUCGCCUACAUGAAGCCGGAAUCGCUAGUAAUCGCGGAUCAGCACGCCGCGGUGAAUACGUUCCCGGGCCUUGUACACACCGCCCGUCACACCACGAGAGUUUGUAACACCCGAAGUCGUAGAGGUAACCUUUGGAGCCAGCCGCCCUAUUGGA